Molecule: long non-coding RNA, 4856 nt
Organism: Diospyros lotus (date-plum)
Lineage: Eukaryota; Viridiplantae; Streptophyta; Magnoliopsida; Ericales; Ebenaceae
Exons: 3
Source: RefSeq, a predicted model, not a curated record
CUUAGCCGUAGAGUUUCCUCUGUGUAAACCUUCCCAUAAACCCUAUUCCCCGGAAACCUCCCAGAUUUUCCCGAGAAAGUGAAUCGAAAAAUCCGGGACAUGUGCUUUCGGACAUCUCCGGAAUUCGAUUCCGUUACCAAAUUGAACUCCCGAUUCCUACCUGACCAAUUGACUCUUUUUGAUCGGCGGGGUUACAAAUCGCGCCGACAACUCGUGCCCGCAGCAAGACGGCAGUUUUUUCUAGCCGGAUUCGGCUUUUCCGUCAUGAAUCCCUUCCUUGGUAUAUCUCCGGAAUUCGAUAUCGUCGCCUAAUGGAACUCCAAUUUCCUGCCUCAGCAAUGGAGUUACAAAUUGCGCCGGCAACUCGUAGCGGCAGCAAGACGACAGAUUUUUGUAGCUGGAUCCUGCUUUUCUGUCUGCAAUUUACCUCCAAAACGCCAGCCAACUUCCUCCUCGUCUAUGAUCUAAACCUUGUAAGAUAUAAAAACUCACGCAAUUCUCCCUUAUCAGGUUUGUGAACCCCAAUUCACCCAUCCUAAUUCCCAGAAAUUGGCGAUUACCUUCCCCUCAACUUCAUUCUCAUUUGCUCGAUUCAAUUCCAAAAAUCAACAAUUACAACAUCAGGAGAUUCCAUUCUCACUCAAUCCCAACUUCAACCAUCCCUUCUCUCCUCUCUGCGUCGUGCGUGACCCUCUUCAAAAUCGAAAUCUAAAAACCCUUCUUUAGCAAGCCCUGUGCGACCAGUGGGCAACUGGCGGUCCUCUCUGCGAGGGGCGACUCUGUGCGACCAACAAAGUUCAAAUUAUCUAUCAAAUCCCUCCGUCCUUAGCUGAUUGGUCUUGAGCUUGCUUGGCUCGUAGAAAACAUGGUGUUGAAAUGGGUGUAUAUACAUGUAAAUGGAGGAAGACAAAAUUAGAUGGUGAUGUUGGGUUUUGAACUUUUCAUUAAAGUAAAUGUAUCUGGGCUUUUGUUGGUUGCUUUAAUUUGAAAUUUAUGGCAUGAAGAGUUCAACUUUAGCAAAAGAAGAAAGUAGAAGAGUUUGCUUUUUGUUACUUUGUAUUUUUUUUUUUGAAUACAAAGUCUUACAGAUGUACUUAUGUGAAGAGGUUGAUAUGCCUGACAUGAGUGAGAUAAUUACUGCUUGUAGAAGUAAAUGGACAAGAUUGUUGGAUUACUGAUAGGCCUCCGGUGCAGCAGACCUAUCAAAGGCACUUCAGGAAUUCAGGGCAGAAUGGUAACACAGCUGGGUUUGCAUAACAGCCAGCAUGUGCACCAAGGGUAGAAUCAUAACUUGGCUGACAAACCAGCAUGUGCAUAACCAGAUGUGGUUAUGGAGGGAGAAUAACAACCUAUAAAUAGGGAAUAGAAGAGAGAGAAAAGUGUGAAGAAAUUGAGUAGAUUCUACAGGAGAGUUUUGGGCCUCUCGAAUGCCCAUUCUUUUCCUUUGUUUACAUUUUUCCUUGUAAUCUGGAGUUGAAAUACCAGCAGUGAAUUCCUUUACUUAAUCAGAAUCUCAUCAGUUUUCUUGAGAUCCCACCAAUUACCUUGUUUCCCUUUUUCUCCCAACACAUUAAUGAAUCAUUUUCCUUUUUAACCUACAACACAAUAUCACGUUGCCCACUCUAGAGGCUCCAGGUGGUACCAUGGACAUAAGUGAGUCAAUCUUUCUGGCCUUAAAGCAAGAUUGUGUCCCUCUUUCUUUUGAAUCCAAACUUUGAAUAUUGGAGCAGGUACUCUUUCCAAUGGGAAAACAGGCAUCUUGGUAGGAAAUCUUAGCAUAGAUACUCGCCCCCUACCUAUAUAUAAAAUCAUAACCCGUGCUCCAAGGAGGUUUGGUCAAUCUCCAACCCUAGCUGGCUUACUUCAUCUCAAUCUCCACUAUUUUUUCACUCACUCUUUACUUUAUCAACUUCUUGCUUUUAGACAAUCUAUUGACUAAGUAUUAGAGGCCUUUCUAGCAAAGGCCUUAGGCAAUCCUCACUGUGAUUUUCUUACGAUUCACUCACAGGAGAAGGCUAAGCAAGUAGCUGAACCUGUUUCAGGCCAGAGAUUAGAGCUUGAUCUGACCCUAUUCUUGAGGGCGCUAAUCCUUGCAUCAUGAAGUCAUGUCUAUAUGGGAAACUAAGGAAGAGUUAGACCAGUUGUUGGUUUUUAGGACCACAUUUGAAAAACUACAAGCCACAUCACUCUCGCUGCCCUUCUCUUUCAUUCAUCCCCUAGUCUCACUAAGACCACUGUCAAGACCAGAAGGAUCCCCAAGGAUAUAGGAGUAAUAAUGUAUUAUAUGUGUUGAAGUAGUAGGUUAUACAUUGUUGUUAUACUUUGCUGUUGUAAUGAUUGUACUUUGCUGUUGUAGCCUAUAAAUAGGUUAGAUUAGGCAGAGAUUUAUACAGAUGAAUGAGAAUUGAUUUCUAGAUUUCUCUCAAGUCUGAACUCUCUUGUUUCUCUCUAAUUAUCUCUCUUUUGUUCUGUUCUGACUGCAUUUCCUCCUCCAUUCUGUCUGUUAUCUCCCUCUUUCAGUCUAAGCCUCCCUCCAAUUCUAUUUGAAUUUUGAUCUGCUUUAUCCUCCCCGAUUUCCUUCCAAUUUCCUAUUCCAACCCUAUGCAAACCCUAGGAUCCUAAUAACCACUCAAAAUAAUGCUCAACAAAUUAACGAGACUACAUGCAAAAGAGAAAAAGGGAAAUGGUUCAUUAAUGUACUGGGUGAGGAUAUUACCUGUUAACAUUAUUCUAGCAGUCAUUCUGUUUUAACCACUUAAAAAAGGUCUACUUUACUUUUUUUGGGGGGUAAAUUGCCCAAAAAAAUUGAAAUUGAUCAUGUUUCCAAUUUUGGACUGAGCAGAGUAAGGAUGCUAGUAUUCAUAAAAUUAAAAGUUUAGUCCAAAAUUGGAAACAUGGUAAAAGUUCUUUUUUUUUUUUUUAACAAUUUACCCUUUUUUGUUGAACCAAAGAGGAAGAAGGAAACAAUAGGUGUUAUCCCAGAUCAUUAAUAGGAUGAGGGAUGAGAUAUUGUAGGUUAUGAGUGAGUGUGCUGCUCCAUUGGAAGAUCUGGGGGAGAAGUGCAACAACCAGUUUUGGUGCUUGGCCAGAAGAAGCUGAAUUCAGAGAGAAAGGCUUGAACCUCUAAUGGAGUAUUGUGGUUGCAUGUUACUUUGAGUUGAUAGUCUGACUCCAGCAGAACUGAUUCCCAACCUUGGUUUUGGACCCAGAUCGGGCAAUAUGAGCUUUAGCAUCAAUUGGAGAAGAGGUUGUGCCUCUGAAGAAUAUCGAACCAAUUGCAUGCCCACUAUAUGAUGCCACCAUUCAUGCAAGAGGGAGAGGAUGCAUCAAAGUUAAUUUUGAUGUGGCUAAUCUUAGGCUUUCGUUAAGGGGGAAGCCAAAGAAUAGGUUGCUAUUGCUUGUGACUUCAGAUCCUGUUGCUCUUGCUAACUCCAAGAAUUUGAGAAUUGCUGCUUGUCUUGGGGAAUGUUGUCAGUGUUGGGAGUGGACUAGGCAUGAUGGCCUCAUUCCUAUGACCCCAGAUGGUUUCCAAUCCUCCAUCUUCUCUGGCUAAACCCUUACAUUGAAUUUUUUUUUGCUCUCUCUCUUCUGCUACAUUCCCCUACAUGAUAUUCUUUUCUGUGUAACUCUCUUUUUAUUUAGAUAUAGAUUAUUUUAUAGUGUUGAAUUGUACUAGUAAGGGCAUUAUUAUAAUUAGGGUACUUAGUAUACUCUUGUAUAUAUACCUUGUCCAUACAUUCUGGAGAAUAUAUAUAGAUUAUUUUAUUCCUAUACAUGGUAUUAGAGCCAAAACCUAACCCUAACCCUAACUAGUAUUGAUGUUUCCACCAUUGUCGACUUCGUUGGCAUUGCUCAUUGACUGUUGUCGUCUUCACCGGGCUUCUUUCCUCAUUGGCCCUGCUUGCCACGACCCCUAGUGCUUUGCGUCUGUAGAUUGCUUUGCUGCUUGCCGUGCCUUCCAUUGCUCCUUGUCUGCUUUUAUUUGUCUGCAGACUUGGUUGCUAGCAAGUUUGCAAACCCUUUGAUUUCUAGGUGAUUUGUAGACUUGAUUUUUGGCUCUCUUGUUGAUUAUUGAAUUAGGGUUUGUAAUCAUUGUCAUGUCUUCAUCAGCUCUAGAAUCUUCACCCACAACUAUCUCAUCAACUUCCACUAUUACCAUUCUCUAAUUCUCAGGCACGCCAGUUAUUACUAUGGAAAAAUUGAAUGGGAACAAUUGUCUACAGCAGUGGAAAUCUGGCUUCUUUAGGCAUGGACUUGAAGAUCAUUUAACACAUGCCAUCUCAACCAGUCUUGAGAACAAUCCGCCAAUGGAAGGAUUAAGGAGUGAGCAAAGAUUCUACUAAUUUUGAUUUCGGCUGCAACGGAUUUCUGACAGUCUGGUUGCGGUAUAGGCUGGUCUCUUGCGGUGGUCCUCCAUUGAUCCGAGCUUCUAUUAUAUUUCUUUCCCACCAAUAAUGUCUCUUUUAUGCCUUGAGAAUUUGCGCCUUCAAAACUUAGAUUUAUGGGGAUCUGUAACUCUCACCGAAGUGUUUGCAACAUAGACAAAGAACUGCUUGGGCUGACCUCGGAAAUGCCCUCUGAUGGGGGAAGUAUGUAUUGUAACAGUAGAGAUAGAUGUGUGUGUGUGUGAGAGAGAGAGAGAGGGAGAGAGUAACGAUGCUACGUAGAGAGCGAUGUAAAGAUAUAUGCCCCUUGUGUUUGGGGGUGUCCCCGUUUUAUAGAGGGGAUGCCUUUAGGGGGACCUAUAGUUGGGUGCAACAUACAGAGAGGCCACAUUAACCAUAUCAAUCAUGUUGACUUAUUAUUAAUCUUCUUCUAUUCAAUCAGUGUAAUUAAAAAUUUAGGCCUAUUCUCUU